GGGAUUAGAUACCCCACUAUAUAAAAUAAUAGAAUUAAUUUAUUAAUAAAUGUUAAAUCAUUAAAAUUAAAUUAUAUGGCGGCUUUUCAUUCUUAUUAGAGAAACUUGUAGUUUAAUUUGAUAGUCCACGAUAAGAUUUACUUAAGUUAAACUUAUAUAUUGUUGUAUAUUUUUAUAUAAAAUUAUUUUUUAUUAAUAUUUAAUAUAAAUAAUUAUUCAAAUCAAAAUGUAGUAUAUUUAAGAAUUUUAUGAGUUAUAAUAAAUUUUAUUUUUGGAUAAUUAAUUUUAAUAUUAAUUUGAAAGAGGAUUUAAAAGUAAAUUUAAUAAAUUAAUUAAAUUGAAAUUAGUUUUGAAAAGUGUACAAAUUGCCCGUCAAUUUCGUUAAAAUGGAAUAAGUCGUAACAUA
RNAcentral lists this ribosomal RNA (406 nucleotides) under Bombus transversalis. RNAcentral describes it as "partial 12S small subunit ribosomal RNA". Lineage: Eukaryota; Metazoa; Arthropoda; Insecta; Hymenoptera; Apidae. The record is from RNAcentral.